This 965-nucleotide ribosomal RNA is filed under the name Salmonella enterica. RNAcentral describes it as "partial 23S ribosomal RNA". It matches the Rfam family "Bacterial large subunit ribosomal RNA", at positions 1967 to 2925 of the family's 2925-position model. Lineage: Bacteria; Pseudomonadati; Pseudomonadota; Gammaproteobacteria; Enterobacterales; Enterobacteriaceae. The record is from RNAcentral.
CCUUGUCGGGUAAGUUCCGACCUGCACGAAUGGCGUAACGACUUCUCCACUGUCUCAACCACGAACUCGGCGAAAUUGCACUACGAGUAAAGAUGCUCGUUACGCGCAGCAGGACGGAAAGACCCCGGGACCUUUACUACAGCUUGGUAUUGGUGUUCGGUACGGCUUGUGUAGGAUAGGUGGGAGACUGUGAAGCAUGCACGCCAGUGUGUGUGGAGUCAACGUUGAAAUACCACUCUGGUCGUUCUGGAUAUCUAACCUCGGUCCGUGAUCCGGAUCAGGGACAGUGCCUGGUGGGUAGUUUAACUGGGGCGGUUGCCUCCUAAAAGGUAACGGAGGCGCCCAAAGGUUCCCUCAGCCUGGUUGGCAAUCAGGUUUUGAGUGUAAGUGCACAAGGGAGCUUGACUGUGAGACAGGCAUGUCGAGCAGGGACGAAAGUCGGGACUAGUGAUCCGGCGGUGGCUUGUGGAAGCGCCGUCGCUCAACGGAUAAAAGGUACCCCGGGGAUAACAGGCUGAUCUUGCCCAAGAGUCCAUAUCGACGGCAUGGUUUGGCACCUCGAUGUCGGCUCGUCGCAUCCUGGGGCUGGAGUAGGUCCCAAGGGUUGGGCUGUUCGCCCAUUAAAGCGGUACGCGAGCUGGGUUUAGAACGUCGUGAGACAGUUCGGUCCCUAUCCGCUGUGCGCGUAGGAAACUUGAGAAGAGCUGUCCCUAGUACGAGAGGACCGGGAUGGACGAACCUCUGGUGUGUCAGUUGUUCUGCCAAGAGCACGGCUGAUUAGCUACGUUCGGAAGUGAUAACCGCUGAAAGCAUCUAAGCGGGAAGCACGCUUCAAGAUGAGGUUUCCAUGGGCUUCGGCCCGAGAGGCUCCCAGCUAGACUACUGGGUUGAUAGGCCAGACGUGGAAGCACAGUAAUGUGUGUAGCUGACUGGUACUAAUAAGCCGAUAACUUGACACAACAAAG